RNAcentral lists this long non-coding RNA (10471 nucleotides) under Cucumis sativus (cucumber). RNAcentral describes it as "long non-coding RNA (CSAT_LNC002601)". Lineage: Eukaryota; Viridiplantae; Streptophyta; Magnoliopsida; Cucurbitales; Cucurbitaceae. The record is from RNAcentral.
AGGUAUUAAGUUCUAUGUUCUCCAAGAAGUUUUCGCACUAUCAUUUUAUAACUUUGCUUUAUUCAUACUGGAAUAUGUUCAACCUCUUUUUGUCCAACUGGUGUCAACUCUGCUAAAACACCAUUGUGUUCAUCUAUUUUUUUGGAACGGAGAUGAAACCUCUCUAUUUUUUUAAAACCAUUGUGUUCAUCUAUUCAUUUAGGUUUUGGCAUUGAAGAGAAAAUGGUGUAAACCAAAAUCUAAAUUUGUAUGAAAUGACACUCUUCUUCAAUUAGGGGAGGAGCUUUCUUCAUAGUGGAAGUGAUUACAGGAAUGUGAGAGAAUGUUAUAACAAUCAAACUAGCUAAAGAUUCACUACCUAACUCUAAGCUAGUUAGAAAAAUAAGGCCUCACACUACACCAGUAAACUUGUUUUCGGCUCAGGUUUGUCUAUUAAAAUAUCUAUUCUCUUGAGAAGAGUUUUGAUCAACCAAAAAACCAACAAGUUCUUGAUCAACUUUAAGCACAUAUUUAUUUUUAAGCGGAGACAAAACAUUUUUUAAAGCACAUUACAGUACAGUUCUUUUCAAUUUAACAUUUAGUUCCUGGGGGACCUGGUUUAGCCAUUUAAUAAUUAUGUCUACAUUAUUCAAUUUCAAUUGCUACAUUUUAGGGAAAAAUGCAAAUUUAUAGUUUUGGUUGCCAUACAAUUAUGUACAUAAAUACGUUCCAGUCCUUGAGCAAACCCCAAUUUACUCAACUCUUGUUUUCUUGAAAAAUGAAAGAUAACUAUAUUCUUCCUGGAUAUUUGAUUUUCAGGUAUUCAAUAUUGAAACUUUCAAGUGGUCGUUUGGGAUUCUUUUCUCCCGCUUGGUAAGUUCAUUUAAUCAAAUACUAUGCUGUAAAGUAUGUGGUAUGCUUAAUAAUUGGAGAUCAAGGCAUAAAACUAUGUUAUAGGGAUUAAUUUGGAAACAACUUGGUUGCACUUCUGAAAUGGUAUUCAUCUAUUGAAACUGUAAAAGCCUUAACUUUUAGUUUAUUUUAUUUUUUAACAUCUAUCUUUGCUGCCCCUUUCUUUAUAUAUAUUUUUUGUCCAUAUGUAAUUUGAAUGCUGACAAGAUAACAUUUCUCUCAAGCCCAGGUUCGGUUACCCUCUAUGGAUGGAAAGGUUGCAUUGGUUCCCUGGGCUGAUAUGCUGAAUCAUAACUGUGAGGUACGCUGAUUGGUAUUUUUCUAAAGCCGUGAGUUGAGCUGCAGAAUUGAAAUUUAACCCUUGCAACUAUGAAUGCUGCCUCAGGUGGAGACUUUCUUGGAUUAUGAUAAAGCAUCCCAAGGUGUUGUCUUUACAACAGAUCGAGCAUACCAACCAGGUGAGCAGGUAAAAGAACAUUUAAAAUUUUCAUCAUGGAUGAAUCUGAUGGAAUAAUGUAAAACUCAAAUUUCUUGGGAACUUGAAUUAGAAAAAUGAAACUAUUUCGAACUUGCAAAUCAUAUUGGAUCUUGAGUCCAUGAUGAAACAUAAUGGCCAGUGCCAUAAAUGGUAGAAAGAAAGAUCAGAAACUUUUUUUCACUUCACGCUUCCAAAAGGAACAUUUCCCAGAUAGACGAAAUUUAUGUCAACCACAAAAGUUGUAUUACUAUGCAUCGUGUUUACUUCAAUCACUGAUCACUGCAGGUGUUCAUUUCAUAUGGCAAGAAAUCUAAUGGGGAGUUGUUGUUGUCAUAUGGCUUUGUUCCAAAGGAGGGAAGCAAUCCUAGCGAUUCUGUUGAGUUGUUACUCUCCCUAAAAAAAUCUGAUAAAUGUUAUAAGGAGAAGUUGGAAGCACUGAAAAAGCAUGGAUUAAGGGCGUGAGUAUGAAGAAAUUGAUGAGUUCUUCACCAUUUAUCGGGAUUUAAUUCAAUGAACAUUUUUAUGACUUCCAUUUUCCAAAUUAAAAGAAGAUAUCAUCUCAUCUUCCUUCAUAAAGAUUCAUCUUUAAUUUCUGAUGCAAAUCUUAAUAAUUAGUGGUAAACUAAUCACAUUCGGGUUAGUUCCUCCCAACACUGUUUCUCUUGUUAAUAUCUUGUUAUUUUGUUGAUCGUGCUGGCUAAAUUAUCAUGGCAGAUCCCAGUGUUUUCCUAUUCAAGUCACUGGCUGGCCUUUAGAAUUGAAGGCAUUUGCUUAUUUAGCUGUUAGUCCACCAAGUUUGAGCAAUCAGUUUGACGAGGUUUGGUUCCCUACCUCUUUUAUCCUUAUGUUCUUGAACUUCAUUAAGCAAUAUCUUUCUCAAUGUGUAUCUGUGUAUUGCUACCAGAUGGCUGCCGCAGCAUCUAAUAAAUCAACAGCAAAAAAGGAUUUAAAUUACCCUGAUAUAGAGGAGGAAGCGCUGCAGUUCAUAUUAGAUAGCUGUGAAACUAGCAUAUCAAAAUAUAACAAAUUUUUACAGGUAACGGAUAAAGAAUGUGCUGAUUCUACUAUUUUAGUGGACAUUGACAACUUGAACUGAAUGAACCUCUGAUUCUUGCCAUACUAGCUCAUAAUAGAAAUCCAUAUUGAUUUUGGAAGAUUUUAGUGAUACUGGAAAUGCAUAUUUCUGACCUUAUCUUUGCAGGCAAGUGGAUCAAUGGAUUUGGAUGUGACGUCGCCGAAACAACUCAACCGUAGAGUAUUUUUGAAACAGUUGGCAGUAGACUUGUGCACUAGUGAACGAAGGAUACUUUUUCGAAGCCAAUAUGUAAGCCCACGUGAUCUCAUAUAUCUCCAGCUUUCUUAUUCUUCACGAAAAUGACAAGCUUUUUGCAUUUUCUGGUUGUUACCAAGACUAUAUUUGAUAACUUUUUGAUUUUUUAUGUUUUAUUUUAAAAAAAAAACCUUACAAACACUAUUUUUUUCACGUAUAAGUUCCUUUGUUUCGUUAUUUACCUUUGAGCAUCGUUUCAAAAAAACCAUAUAAAAAUUUGAAAACUAAGAAAGGUAGGCUCGUCGAAAGGUAGGCUUGUCUGAUGAUCAUUUUGUUUUGAACAUUAUGCUUGUUUCUUUACAAAUCUUGGUGAGUUUUUCACCUUUUUUCUUGUAAAUACUUGUAUUUUUGGAAUUGGCUAAGAAUUCAGAAAAAUGGAAGACCGAAAAGAAAGAAAUGGUGGGAAAACAAACACAAUUUUCAUAAACUAAAUGUUUAUCGAGCUAAGUUAAGUGGCUUGUGAUUAUUAUUUGCUAUGUAAAUCUUAAAGGUUAGAACCUCUUAUUUACUCUUUCUUCAAUAUUACUACUUCUACUAAAAAGAAUCUGAUAGCAAUAUUAAGAAUUCGACUACUGUUAUUGAUAUCUUGAGUAUGGAUGUUUUCAGAUUCUGAGAAGAAGAUUGAGAGACUUAAGAAGUGGUGAAUUGAGAGCUCUAAAACUGUUCAGAGGGUUUGGGAAACUUUUCAAAUGAUUGGUUCACGAGUCAAACAUGCUAGUCCUAAACCUUACAAAACACCCACCGGAGCUUUGCCCACUUGGCGUGGCCGCCACGGUUAGUUUCCUACUUGAGAAUCAAAGAGUCUGGUCUAUAUAGCAUCAAAGGUUCUGUUUAGAGUUGUGUAGUGAACAAAGUGAAAAAGGCAAAAGAACUUCCCCACUCGCUACCACUACCUCUUGAUACAUCUUCAUAUUGUAAGUUACUAAGUUGUGUAUUUUGUUGGACUAGUUUUAAACAUUCUUGAGAGAAAAAUAAUGGAUUUCAGUAGCUUUUGAUUCAACACAAUUUUCAUUUCACUUUGUUAUUUAGCUACAUUCUGAAGUUAUUUUCCUAUAGCUGUUUUGUUCUAUUGUUCAGAUUUUUUUUUUCAGAACUUCAGCUGGAGAACAUCUCAUCUCAUAGUUGAUCGAUCUUUUUCAUGCCUUUUGAUUUUUGAAUAAGUUAGCUUUUAGUUUUUACACUAUGUAAUUAGAAUUUAAUUUCUAUAUUUUGAUAAAAUUCUCCUAAAUAGUAUAGAUAUUAGAGAUUAUUUACGAGAGGUUUUUCAAAUCGUAUGGAUUAUUUAUAAGGUUUUAUCAAAUCACAAGGAUCAAAUUAUAACUUCUAGAAUACGGAUUGACUAAAUUCUAACAUCUCUUCGCACCAAGUUUGUAAUUUACUAGAAAUUUUACAAAUGUUAUUUUUAUUUCUCUCCACUCCACACUCGAAAAGAAACUUAGUUGGAACUAGAGGAUGAAAGUGUAACGCAACCUUACCUUUCUGAAAAAAAUAAAUUUGAAUUGGUAACCAAAAUUGGCAAGGCUGUAAUGAUUAUGCCAACUAGAUUGACAAUGUGAUUUAAACAAAUUGGACUACGUUACAUUUGCAUGCAUUCAACAAUUUAACCCAAUUGUGUUUUUUUGGGUAAGAAAACCAAUUGAGUUUUGUUUCAUUGAUUAAACAAAACAAAACCAAGCUGCAAACAAAAUUUAAGCCAAGUUUGUGAAAACGCAAGUUGUUACAUUUAUCUAUUGGUGUUUUUGGUUGCAAUAUUACUCUUAAGCUGAGUAGAAAUCCGUUAGAAGAUGAAAGUUCGAGACAAGGAAUAAGCAUGAUAAUGAUUUGGAAUGGUGCAAUGAUUUUUAAGCCUCAAUUCUCGUUCUAGGUCGAUGUUACAUCGCUCUUAGUUCUAACUUUUGUCCAACAAUGUAAUGAGUUGUAUUCCAAUUUUAUUUCAAUAACAAUUUUGAAAUGUACAAAUGAAACUAUUACAACUUAAUUGUUCUUUUAAAAGUAUAUGUUAGCCUUAACAAAAACUAACCCAAGAUCGAUGUAAAUUAGUUUGAAAGUAUGAGAAAUAGAAUUUCGCACCUAUGUAUUUUGUAAUUCAAUAAUAUGAAGUUGUGGCAUUUUGAACAUCUAACUUAUCGAUUAAAAUUAUAUGCUUAAAUUAAUUGAAUUACGUUUGAAUGGCUCCAUACAUAUUAGUGGUUCACCACAAAUUACUUUUUAUCCUAAGAAAAAAAGUUCUUCAAAAAUAGGAUAGGAGUCAAAGUAUUUACAAAAAUGAAUUCACGACUUAGAGUUGUCACCCAUACAUUCUUUAUUAUUUUUUAAAUUUUCUUAAAUUUUCAAAUGACGUACGUGAAUGGAUCAAAUUUUUUAAAUUUAAUUAUAUAUGUUUUAUUAAAUAUAUAUAAUUAAAUAAGGAAGUAAUUUUCUUAUUAAAUUCAUAUUUCUCAUUUUAAAUUAUGGUUAUUCCUUUAUUAACAACUUAUUGUUUUUUUCUUUUUAUAUAUAUAUAUAGAUGUAUAUUCAAUAUGUUUCAUAAUUUAAUUACGUGGGUCAAACAUUCCUAUCUUAUUUAUUGUUUUUAUUUUUCUCCUUCUAUAUAUAUUAAAUAUCUCAAUAUCUAAAUUCUAAUCCUAAAAAUAUUUUCCUUAUUAAACUUAUAUAUAUUAAAUAUCCCAACUUUCAAUCAAAAAAAUAAUGAAAGUGUGAUGUUCAUUUUUAAUUUGAUUAUUUCUUUAUAAUUUCAGUAAUAUUUUCUUUUAAAAAAAGUCGUGUACUUUAUUUCCAAAUUUCUUUCCAUGCUACCAUAUUUUCGUCAUUAUCUUAAAAAAAGCCAUUAUUUUUAAAAAUACUCCUAAAUGUUGACAGGAUGACAAUUAGCUUAAAAUUUUAUCUCAUUUUUCACACAAAACAACAGAAAAAUAUCUUUUCAAUUUUUUCCCUUUUCUAUAGAAUCAUGUAUUAAAUCAAUUCAUAGUUCCCUUUGAUUGACUUUGUACAAAAUGUUCUCCAAAAAAUUAUUUUAUUUAAACAAUUUUUUUUAAAAUAAAAACUAAUUAAAACACAUUUAGAAAACUAUUUUUUACACUUUACAAAUACUCCAAUUUCCUAACUUAAAUAUUUAAAAAAUAUUUCCACACAUACUCUUACAUCAACUUUCUUCAAUCCUUAAGCACACAAGACUUAUUGGUAUAUGCGUUUAUAACGAACAUAACUCGAUAGUUUUUGCUCCAUCCAAUUCGAUACAAUAAAAAGAGUGUUGUUAAAGAGAAAAACAAAAAGGUGAGACGAAUUAUAAAAUUAGGGAGGGAGAAUUAUGUUGCAUCCUUCUUCUUCUGGCUCCAAGUCCCAACAACAAAAACUUCCACAAAUUUGUUCCUUUUUUCUUAUAACUUUCAAAAUAAUAUUGACCCUUUUUUUGUUUUGUUUUAAAAUUUUGUGUUAAUUCCCCAAUUCCCCAAUAUCUAUAAAACCGAUUGCUUCACGAACGCAGGGCGUUCAAAGGAGCUCAAGUUUUGGACGACAAUGGAGGGUCUCGCUUCCCUCAGAACAAUUCCCAACGUUCCCUUUCAACCCAUCUCCUCUUCUACUCGCAGGUCAAAGUUUCUUUCCAGACGGUUGAAUCUUGGGCCUUCAAUGGACUCCUCUUUGAGGAAUUCAAUCACUCUUACCUCCUCCUCCUCCUCUUCUUCUCCCAUGUUCACUGCCAUCCGAGCUCAACAGGUUUUGAUUUUCGACUUCUAUGUUAUUACAAUUUCGAGACUUUUUUGCUGGGGUUGAGGGAUUUUCUGUGUAGUUUGUGUAUUCGUUGAUUCUUUGUGCUUAAUCUGCAUUUUGCCCAUCUGGGUAGAUUUUGUUUUCUCGUAUAUUGAUUUGAAUGGUCGAUAUUUGGAGAGUUUUGUUGUAAUUAGUAUAUAUACUACUUGCUUUUCAGAUAGAGUCAGAGGCUGGGUCAGCUGCGGCUUCCCCAGGUACUGAAUCAGAAGAAAAUGCUUUGAAAGUGAAGGAAUGGGAAGUGGGGAUGUUCCAAGAUGAAGUAGCAGCAACUCAAGGCAUUAGGAUUCGUCGCAGGCCGCCCACUGGACCACCGUUGCAUUAUGUUGGACCCUUUCAGUUCAGAUUACAGAAUGAAGGAAACACUCCUAGGAAUAUUUUGGAGGAGAUCGUAUGGUACAAGGACAAGGAAGUUUCACAGGUAAACAUUAUGCGUAUUGCUAGAUGAUAUAAUAUCAAAUUUGACAUCACCCAUCUGCUUAAAGUUGUUGGGUUAAUUGAUGAUUUAAGAUUGUAUAAGAGCAAAUGGUCGAGGAGGUCCUGUGUUGAGUGUGUUUCAAAACUUGCAAUGUAAUUAUAUUAGAUAUGAUUUCACUUGUCAUCUUAAGUUUUUGGGUCGAUGGUAAUUUAAGGACUUUUGGUUGAUCUGCAUUCCCAUACUUUAGGAUAUUGUCUAUUGGCUAAUAUUGUUCUUUGGUUUUUGUAUGUUUCCAGAUGAAAGAAAGAAGGCCUCUUUUUUCGUUGAAAAAGGAUCUUGAGAGGGCCCCUCCUGCUAGAGAUUUCCUUGGAGCUCUCAAAGCUGCCUACCUCAGAACUAAUUUGCCUGGUUUGAUCGCUGAAGUGAAAAAGGCUUCUCCUAGCAGAGGAGUUCUAAGGGAGGAUUUUGAUCCUGUGAGUUUCCUUGACUGUUUAUUUUGUAGUCACAUUUCAUAAAUCUCUACAUAAUUUUGACGCAGUAACUAUAGCAGAAAAUCCCUCUUUCAUAUUACCAAAAUUUGCUUGAAUUGUUAAAACAAGAAGGUUAUAAAGGCCUAGGUUUGCAUGCUUAGAGGAUUUUUAGACUUAAGGUGUACGAGUUUCUGAAACCUUUGUUUGGUCUGUAAAAGAAAUAGGUUAUAAAAACAUGGGUUUGUGGAACUUGUAUUUAGUAGGUGUUAUGUUUCGGAAAAGUUAGCAUAUAAUAUGAAGAGUAGGUUUCAUGACUCAUGAGUGUCGGUUUAUUAGACAUGAGUUCUUGUGGUAUGUGAAAUUAACAACUCUAUAUCAUGGGAUAAAUAAAUUCAUUAGCAAGUGUAAGUUAGGUUUCUUAACCCAAGUUAGAUGAACAUGAAUACAUCACCUAUGAGCCAAACGCCACUUAAGUAUCAAUGUUUAUUUUUUCUCUCUUGAGAAACCAAGCUUUCACUGAGAAGAAACGAAAGAAAACUAGACAAAAGAUUCAUGGGCAUUAAAAAAUGGAAACCAGCCCAUGCUAGGGGUGCCUAGUACCUAAUACCAAGGGGCUCAAACUCAAAUCCCUAGUAAUAAGAUCUCUUGAAUGUAUGUAAACCAUAUGCAUAGUGUUUAACCUAAACCUUUUGUGCUAGUGUAGUUUUUUUUUUUUAAAUAAUGAGAUUGCUUUCCUGUGCUAUGCUGUUGAUGGAAGGGGGUAAAACUGAUUGAGAUAUGCUGUGUGUUUAUUUCCAAUGCUCAGUUUUAUCAAGUUAUGAAAUGGAGUGGUGAUGAAUAAACUGGAUACAGGGUCUUCUCCGACCCUAGGAAUGGUAGCAAUUUGUUUAACGGAUCCGUUAAGUGCAUCAAAGAACAAAAGGGGCAAUAAAUCUUUUAUUUAUUCUCAAUAAAAGUUGCUGUACUUAUAAAAACUGGUAUAAUAAAAGAUUUAGAGGGAAUAAAUUCAAUCCAUGAUGUCUACCCUUGGCACCCAAAUGUUAUAUAAGGCUACGCAAGAUGUCCCAUGAGAUCACUUGAGGUAGGCAUGAGCUGGCACUAACACUAACGGACAAUUAAAAAAAUUAAGUGCAUCAAACAAGGAACUGCCAUCUGUAUGUGCGUGCCUAAAACUUCAGUUGCAAAACAACACUAGGAAAUCCAAGCCUUUUAUUUAGUAAAAUCCAAAAUUCAACUACUUGUUAAGUGUAGCAUUUAUGUUUCAACCAGUCACUCUUGCAUCAGAAUAAUCGUUUUAUUUAAUGUAAAUUUGAUAAAUGAUGAUAGGUUGAGAUUGCCCAAGCGUAUGAGAAAGGUGGAGCAGCAUGCCUUAGCGUUCUCACAGAUGAAAAGUUUUUUCAGGUGAAGAACAUUUUAGGAGCUCUGUCUUUCUUUCAAUCUCUCGGAUGGUGUUUGACUUUUUAUUCAUUUUCUUUUAGUAUUUGAAGAUGGUUGGAUAAUUUCCUGAGUUUUACAUCUGUUGUUUUGGGGAUUAGGGAAGCUUUGAGAAUCUGGAGAAGAUAAGGAAUGCCGGUGUGAAGGUUUGUCUUAUUUAAUCACAAUUUUAUAUAUUGGUAUGUGAAUUGUACUUCUAAAAGUGGGAAACAUAUGCAGUGCCCUCUCUUGUGCAAAGAGUUUGUGGUUGAUGCAUGGCAGAUCUACUAUGCCCGAUCCAAAGGUGCAGAUGCCAUUCUUUUGAUCGCUGCUGUUUUGCCCGAUCUUGACAUUAAAUAUAUGGUGAAAAUCUGCAAGAUGGUCGGUUUAACCCCUCUUGUUGAGGUUCGUGUACACAUUAUGUCUUGCACUACAAUCUAGAAAACUCCCGUCUUUCCAUCGUCUUAGCUGAAUAGAAUGGUGUUUUGUUCAGAUCAGAUAUUGCUUACCAUUAUUGCACAAUAUUUAAAGAUCUAUACAUGUUUUUUUACCUUUUACUUCAUUUUUAGGUUCACGACGAGAAGGAAAUGGAUCGUAUGCUUGCAAUUGAAGGCAUCGAGCUCAUUGGCAUCAACAAUCGGAAUCUCGGUAAUGACUAACUACUUUUGUUACUUCGUUCGUAUUUGUUAAACUUCUAAUUUCUCCAUUGAUCAAUAUAUUACAUUCUUUCAUACCAAACUGCAUCGCUACUCUCUUCUUUAACUUGAUAUCUUUUAGUAUGACAUUGUACUCCCUAAAUUUGAACAGCCAUAGCUUUUAAGCAGUUAUAGCAUUUCGAAACACAAGCAAUUGUCUGUUUCUUGCUUCUGAAGCACUCCUAUUUCACCAAUACACUGACGAAAGUUCCCAUUGAAAGUUAUCUUGCUUAUAUGCGUGUGCGUGAAUCAAUAACUUGCAGAAACAUUCGAGGUUGAUAUCAGCAACACCAAAAAGCUUCUUGAAGGAGAGCGUGGACAAAAGAUCCGCGAGAAGAAUGUUAUCGUAAGUAUCAAGUGGACUUCUCUGCUGUUCAACAGCUUCUCAACAAACUAAUUCUUUCCAUCUUCUUUUAUGAGAAAAACACACCAAACUUUUACAUUAUCUGAUAUUCACUUGAUUGUUGUGAGGAUUGUUCAGAUAGUGGGAGAAUCUGGGCUGUUCACUCCCGAUGAUAUUGCUUAUGUGCAAGAAGCUGGUGUUAAAGCUGUAAGCUCAUAUUUUGUUUAAUGGCUUCCAUUGUUGCAUGACAUGGAAUUUUGAGAUUGUUUAAUGUUGGUUUCUGCAGGUACUGGUUGGCGAGUCGAUUGUGAAACAGAGCGACCCGACGAAGGGAAUAACUGGACUUUUUGGUAAAGACAUUUCUGUUUAAGCUUAAAGAAAAUUGGAAGUGUUGUAUUUUGAAUAUGUUGGUUGUCCCCAUUUGGCUCUAAUUUUAUUUAUCUAUAUGGUAUUUCGAGUUGUAAGUGAUUAAAUAGAGUCUGGAUUGUCGCCCUGCCUUCCAAAAUGGAAAAAUAAGGCAUGCGUUAUACAUUAGUACAAUAAAUGUUAUAGGAUACCAUAUCAGGUUCUCUCUCUUUGAUGGAUUUUCUUUUAGUUUCAUGCAUGAAUAUAGAGAUAGUUGUGCGGUUGAACCAAACUCUGUGCCCAAACUGAAAUUUGUUCCACCU